This 909-nucleotide ribosomal RNA is filed under the name Hydnangium carneum. RNAcentral's name for it is "eukaryotic LSU rRNA". It matches the Rfam family "Eukaryotic large subunit ribosomal RNA", at positions 63 to 956 of the family's 3401-position model. Lineage: Eukaryota; Fungi; Basidiomycota; Agaricomycetes; Agaricales; Hydnangiaceae. The record is from RNAcentral.
AACUAACAAGGAUUCCCCUAGUAACUGCGAGUGAAGCGGGAAAAGCUCAAAUUUAAAAUCUGGCGGUCUUUGACUGUCCGAGUUGUAAUCUAGAGAAGCAUUAUCCGCGCUGGACCGUGUACAAGUCUCCUGGAAUGGAGCGUCAUAGAGGGUGAGAAUCCCGUCUUUGACACGGACUGCCAGGGCUUUGUGAUGUGCUCUCAAAGAGUCGAGUUGUUUGGGAAUGCAGCUCAAAAUGGGUGGUAAAUUCCAUCUAAAGCUAAAUAUUGGCGAGAGACCGAUAGCGAACAAGUACCGUGAGGGAAAGAUGAAAAGAACUUUGGAAAGAGAGUUAAACAGUACGUGAAAUUGCUGAAAGGGAAACGCUUGAAGUCAGUCGCGUUGGCCAGGGAUCAACCUCGCUUUUUUGCUUGGCUUACUUCCUGGUUAAUGGGUCAGCAUCAAUUUUGACUGGUGGAAAAAGUUCAAGGGAAUGUGGCAUCUUCGGAUGUGUUAUAGCCUUUGCUCGCAUACAUCAGUUGGGAUUGAGGAACUCAGCACGCCGCAAGGCCGGGUUUUUAACCACGUACGUGCUUAGGAUGCUGGCAUAAUGGCUUUAAUCGACCCGUCUUGAAACACGGACCAAGGAGUCUAACAUGCCUGCGAGUGUUUGGGUGGAAAACCCGAGCGCGUAAUGAAAGUGAAAGUUGAGAUCCCUGUCGUGGGGAGCAUCGACGCCCGGAUCUGACCUUUUGUGACGAUUCCGCGGUAGAGCAUGUAUGUUGGGACCCGAAAGAUGGUGAACUAUGCCUGAAUAGGGUGAAGCCAGAGGAAACUCUGGUGGAGGCUCGUAGCGAUUCUGACGUGCAAAUCGAUCGUCAAAUUUGGGUAUAGGGGCGAAAGACUAAUCGAACCAUCUAGUAGCUGGUC